Molecule: ribosomal RNA, 453 nt
Filed under: uncultured bacterium
Lineage: Bacteria
Description: bacterial SSU rRNA
Rfam family: Bacterial small subunit ribosomal RNA
Source: RNAcentral
GAUAAACGCUGGCGGCGUGCCUAACACAUGCAAGUCGAACGAUCCCGCAAGGGAGAGUGGCGGAAGGGUGAGUAACACGUGGGAAUCUACCUCCUCGCAGGGAACAACCUCUCGAAAGAGAGGCUAAUACCCAAAAGGGUCAGAAAUGAUCAGAGUCGAAAGGCGUGAGGAGAGGAGCCCGCGGCCCAUCAGCUAGUUGGUGAGGUAAUGGCUUACCAAGGCUACGACGGGUAGGGGAUCUGAGAGGAUGUCCCCCACACUGGAACUGAAACACGGUCCAGACGCCUACGGGUGGCAGCAGUGAGGAAUAUUGGACAAUGGGCGAAAGCCCGAUCCAGCAACGCCGCGUGGAGGAUGAAGGCCUUCGGGUCGUAAACUUCUUUAGAGGGAGACGAGAAAGGACGGUAUCCCUAGAAUAAGCGACGGCAAACUACGUGCCAGCAGCCGCGGUAA